GACGAACGCUGGCGGCGUGCUUAACACAUGCAAGUCGAACGGAAAGGCCCUGCUUUUGUGGGGUGCUCGAGUGGCGAACGGGUGAGUAACACGUGAGUAACCUGCCCUUGACUUUGGGAUAACUUCAGGAAACUGGGGCUAAUACCGGAUAGGAGCUCCUGCUGCAUGGUGGGGGUUGGAAAGUUUCGGCGGUUGGGGAUGGACUCGCGGCUUAUCAGCUUGUUGGUGGGGUAGUGGCUUACCAAGGCUUUGACGGGUAGCCGGCCUGAGAGGGUGACCGGCAACAUUGGGACUGAGAUACGGCCCAGACUCCUACGGGAGGCAGCAGUGGGGAAUAUAGCACAAUGGGAGGAAGCCUGAUGCAGCAACGCCGCGUGCGGGAUGACGGCCUUCGGGUUGUAAACCGCUUUCGCCUGUGACGAAGCGUGAGUGACGGUAAUGGGUAAAGAAGCACCGGCUAACUACGUG
This 468-nucleotide ribosomal RNA is filed under the name uncultured bacterium. Its description in RNAcentral is "partial 16S ribosomal RNA". It matches the Rfam family "Bacterial small subunit ribosomal RNA", at positions 28 to 507 of the family's 1533-position model. The record is from RNAcentral.